Molecule: ribosomal RNA, 497 nt
Filed under: uncultured bacterium
Lineage: Bacteria
Description: partial 16S ribosomal RNA
Rfam family: Bacterial small subunit ribosomal RNA
Source: RNAcentral
GAUGAACGCUGGCGGCGUGCCUAAUACAUGCAAGUCGAGCGAACAGACGAGGAGCUUGCUCCUCUGACGUUAGCGGCGGACGGGUGAGUAACACGUGGAUAACCUACCUAUAAGACUGGGAUAACUUCGGGAAACCGGAGCUAAUACCGGAUAAUAUAUUGAACCGCAUGGUUCAAUAGUGAAAGACGGUUUUGCUGUCACUUCUAGAUGGAUCCGCGCCGCAUUAGCUAGUUGGUAAGGUAACGGCUUACCAAGGCAACGAUGCGUAGCCGACCUGAGAGGGUGAUCGGCCACACUGGAACUGAGACACGGUCCAGACUCCUACGGGAGGCAGCAGUAGGGAAUCUUCCGCAAUGGGCGAAAGCUUGACGGAGCAACGCCGCGUGAGUGAUGAAGGUCUUCGGAUCGUAAAACUCUGUUAUUAGGGAAGAACAAAUGUGUAAGUAACUAUGCACGUCCUGACGGUACCUAAUCAGAAAGCCACGGCUAACUACGUG